UUCUGUCGUUCUGUUCUUGCUCCUUUUUAUAUACAUACGAAACAAAAAGAGGAAGAGGGGGGAUCUUACCUGUGAGCACGCCGUUGGAGCUCCAUUUACUCCAUCCAAAUCGGAGUUAGACGGAGUUUUGGGUUUUGAGGCGGCGGAGGGUGAGAGAGGUUUAGGUUUCUUUUUUUUUUUUCUGAUAGUUUAAUAAAGCUUUGAAGUAUUCUAUUUUUAGGGUUUUGAAUGGCAUUUAUAUAGGGCAUAAAACAACACCGUUUAGGGCUUGUGUCAAUGGCUCUAAAACGAUGCCGUAUUGGCAUUGGCCUGAUGACCCGACCCGAGCAUGGCUAGGUCCGCGUGUUUUAGUCUCG
RNAcentral lists this long non-coding RNA (356 nucleotides) under Gossypium raimondii (Peruvian cotton). RNAcentral describes it as "long non-coding RNA (GRAI_LNC008075)". Lineage: Eukaryota; Viridiplantae; Streptophyta; Magnoliopsida; Malvales; Malvaceae. The record is from RNAcentral.